UAUUUUGUAAUGACGAAGAACAGUAAUAAUGAAAAUCUUUUAAGAGAGAUUGUGAUAGGUGAAAACAAUUAAGGUUUAAUUAUGAAGGAGCUUCUGAGCAAGAAUUGAUAAAGCAGGGCUUGUGCCAAGAAGGGUGGAACCGCGGAAAUAAGUUUUCGUCCCUUUA
RNAcentral lists this non-coding RNA (166 nucleotides) under Clostridium carboxidivorans. RNAcentral's name for it is "T-box sequence". It matches the Rfam family "T-box leader". Rfam says of the family: Uncharged tRNA acts as the effector for transcription antitermination of genes in the T-box leader family. T-boxes are found upstream of many aminoacyl-tRNA synthetase genes and some amino acid biosynthetic genes usually in Gram-positive bacteria. The record is from RNAcentral. Lineage: Bacteria; Bacillati; Bacillota; Clostridia; Eubacteriales; Clostridiaceae.